Long non-coding RNA from Peromyscus leucopus (white-footed mouse), 2318 nucleotides. RefSeq lists it as uncharacterized. NCBI's taxonomy places the organism in Eukaryota, Metazoa, Chordata, Mammalia, Rodentia, Cricetidae. The record is from RefSeq and is a predicted model, not a curated record. The transcript has 3 exons.
CACUUACUUCUUUAUUGGGUGCAGGAGUACCAGGGUGCAUGCGUGGAAGUCAGAGGACAACCUGCCGAAGUCAGUUCUCUUCCUUCUAUCUUGUAGGUUCAGGGGAUUGAACUAAAGUCGGUCAGCUUGUCAGCAAGCACCUUGACUGGCUGAGCCAUCUCACCAGCCCCUAGAUGAGAUGCAGUACUCAUGGAUUUUCAAAUACCUAGCCUGGAGGAGCAGAGCCGGCUUGCUGACUUAUGCAUGUCCUCGCAGGUGGCCCACGAUGGCCAUGCCUUCCUCUCUGCUUCUCUAACCUCCUUUUCCCACAGGUGAGCUGCAUCAGCCCCACCCCACCCCCAAAGUGACUUCCCGGUCUUGGGAGAGGGGAACCCAGCAGUUUCCCACAAGACCGGGGUGCAAGUUGAGAAGGGUCUAUGGAGAUGCCCCUGUUCAGCCAAGGCCUGAAGUGGGCUUUGGAACCAAGGGACUUCUCGCACAGAGGCACUUGGCGGCCAGGAGGGAAAGUUUCCUGCAGGGUAAACCUUCUUCUCAGCCCUGGCUCCAAGACAGCAGGAGCUGAUCUGCUCACAGAGACCUGCCUUUCCUCUCUAAGUGGGGCAGAGGAGAGGAAGCCAGCUGACUGCUGGCUAAAAAAGAAAGAUGAACUCAGUCUGAACUUGAGCCAGGCCCCGGAGAGAGCCCAUCCCCCCAUCAGCUGGCUGUCUCCUGUUCCCCUUGCCGACCAGGGGCCUGCUUGCAGGAGCCAGACACAGGGCUGAGGACUCCUGGGGCUACCACCAGGGCCCACCCGGUCACUCAGCUGAGUCACAGCCACCACUGAGGUGAAGGACUCAGGAGAAGCCCAGGGGUAGGCUUGGUAAGGGACCUGAGCAAUGGUCUGGACGAGAGUGGAUGCUGGAGACAGUUGCCUGCGACCCUGCUGCCGGAAGAAGUGGGGUGUCCUCUCCUGAGGGCCACAAGCUACAACUCUGGUCCACCACCAGAGCAGAAACAGAGCCAAGUUGGAGCCCCAGCCUCGUCCACUACAGCCUCAGUGGGAAGGGUUCACAUCCCCUUUGGGUCUGAGAACUCUGGACUGCUCAUCCCAAAAUGGUGGCCAGUCCUCAUCUGGCCACGUCCCAUCCCCAGGAGGAUAGAGGCCUGGAAGGACUGUUCUGGGAGCGAGAGAAGGGGGAAGCUGAGGGGACAGAGCUGCCUCCAUGGGUCCCUAGGUGACCAGAGCCCUUGACCCACCUUCUCCCAACUGCAUGCUCAGGUCUCGUAUCCCUACCUUCGGUAGCCUCUGGGUAACACUCCCUGAGUGUGACUAUCAGGAGGUGUCACCACAGAGGCGACUGAGAACUCCUCACACCAGCCGAGUUGUGCAGUUAGCCGGGGCGCCCAUCAACAGAUGAGGGAAAUGUGAGUCUGUGCAAUGCAGUUUUCUUCAGCCGUCAAGAAUGGAGUUCUGUCAUUUGCAGGGAAAGGGCCAGAACUGGAGAUCGCGUUAAGUGAAACAAGCCAGACUCAGAAAGGCAGACGUCAUCAGUUUCCUCUCCUACAAAGAAUGCAGAAUUUAAAAAGUACGGCACAUACUGCUAGGAGCUGUAGCUCGGUGAUACAGUGCGUGCUCGGCAUGCCUGAGGUCCUGGGUUCGAUCCCUGGGAUGCCAAAGGAAGAGAGGAAGACUUGAACGUACAAGGGGCUCCUUGUGGGUGGAGCUUUGUCGACUGGAGACAGAUUUCACUCCUUCUCCCAGGCUGGUUUGGAAUUCAAAGCCAGCUUCCUGCCUCAGUCUCCAAAGUUCUGGGGUCAUAGGUGUGGGCCACCAUGCUCAGCUGGAAGGAAGAGGCAGAGGAUGGCAAUGGGAGUUAAAUAUGAUCAAAGCACGUUACAAAUGUGUGUGAAAACGGCAUGAUGGCAUCAUUGUUUUGUUCAGUGAAUAUAUGCUAAUAAGAAAGGCAGCUUCCUCCUCUUCUAAGUCUGCCUUUCGGAUGGAGGAUCUAGCCAUAAAUAACCUUUAUGAAGGGAAGGACAGAGAAUACUCUCCUAGACAUUGCUGUUGUAAGUCCAAUACUGCACUAACCUGACAGUCCUUGCGGUGGAAGUCCUCAGAAAGGGUCCAUCUAGAACCUCUUCCAUUUCACAGAAGGGGAAACCGAGGCACAAGGAGCGUACACAGUUCCUGGGAGAUUGCUCAGUGGGUAAGGGUGCUUGCUUGCCGCAUGACCCUAGCAACCUGAGCUCAAUCUCCAGAAACCCACACAAAGGUAGAAGGAGAAGAUCAAGUCCAAAAGUUGUCCCCUGACCUACACACCCAUACAUAUACAUUGUGU